AAGCGGAGCCGCGAGGCCGGGCAAAUCCCAAAAAUAACGUCCCAGUUCGGAUUGCAGCCUGCAACUCGGCUGCAUGAAGCUGGAAUCGCUAGUAAUCGCGAAUCAGAAUGUCGCGGUGAAUACGUUCCCGGGUCUUGUACACACCGCCCGUCACACCAUGGGAGUUGGAAAUGCCCGAAGUCAGUGACCCAACCGAAAGGAGGGAGCUGCCGAAGGCAGGUCUGAUAACUGGGGUGAAGUCGUAACAAGGUACC
RNAcentral lists this ribosomal RNA (254 nucleotides) under uncultured bacterium. RNAcentral's name for it is "partial 16S ribosomal RNA". It matches the Rfam family "Bacterial small subunit ribosomal RNA", at positions 1247 to 1500 of the family's 1533-position model. The record is from RNAcentral.